Molecule: ribosomal RNA, 403 nt
Filed under: uncultured bacterium
Lineage: Bacteria
Description: bacterial SSU rRNA
Rfam family: Bacterial small subunit ribosomal RNA
Source: RNAcentral
UAGGGAAUAUUGCAAAAUGGGCGAAAGCCCGAUGCAGCAACGCCGCGUGGGCGAUGAAGGCCUUCGGGUCGUAAAGCCCUUUUUGAGGGGAUGAGGAAGGACAGUACCCUCAGAAUAAGCCUCGGCUAACUACGUGCCAGCAGCCGCGGUAAAACGUAGGAGGCGAGCGUUAUCCGGAUUUACUGGGCGUAAAGCGCGUGCAGGCGGAUUGGAGAGUUGGAUGUGAAAGCUCCCGGCUUAACUGGGAGAGGUCGUGCAAUACUUCCAGGCUUGAGUGCAGUAGAGGGAAGUGGAAUUCCGGGUGUCGUGGUGAAAUGCGUAGAUAGCCGGAGCAACACCAGUGGCGAAAGCGGCUUCCUGGACUGUAACUGACGCUCAGACGCGAAAGCUAGGGUAGCAAACG